Molecule: ribosomal RNA, 433 nt
Filed under: uncultured bacterium
Lineage: Bacteria
Description: partial 16S ribosomal RNA
Rfam family: Bacterial small subunit ribosomal RNA
Source: RNAcentral
AACGAACGCUGGCGGCAUGCCUAACACAUGCAAGUCGAACGAGACCUUCGGGUCUAGUGGCGCACGGGUUCGUAACGCGUGGGAACCUGCCCUUAGGUUCGGAAUAACUCCCCGAAAGGGGUGCUAAUACCGGAUAAUGUCUUCGGACCAAAGAUUUAUCGCCUUUGGAUGGGCCCGCGUUGGAUUAGCUAGUUGGUAGGGUAAAAGCCUACCAAGGCGACGAUCCAUAGCUGGUCUGAGAGGAUGAUCAGCCACACUGGGACUGAGACACGGCCCAGACUCCUACGGGAGGCAGCAGUGGGGAAUAUUGGACAAUGGGCGAAAGGCUGAUCCAGCAAUGCCGCGUGAGUGAUGAAGGCCUUAGGGUUGUAAAGCUCUUUUAACCGGGAUGAUAAUGACAGUACCGGGAGAAUAAGCACCGGCUAACUCCGUG